Molecule: transfer RNA, 72 nt
Filed under: Fuerstiella sp.
Lineage: Bacteria; Pseudomonadati; Planctomycetota; Planctomycetia; Planctomycetales; Planctomycetaceae
Description: tRNA-Leu
Rfam family: tRNA
About the family: Transfer RNA (tRNA) molecules are approximately 80 nucleotides in length. Their secondary structure includes four short double-helical elements and three loops (D, anti-codon, and T loops). Further hydrogen bonds mediate the characteristic L-shaped molecular structure. tRNAs have two regions of fundamental functional importance: the anti-codon, which is responsible for specific mRNA codon recognition, and the 3' end, to which the tRNAs corresponding amino acid is attached (by aminoacyl-tRNA synthetases). tRNAs cope with the degeneracy of the genetic code in two manners: having more than one tRNA (with a specific anti-codon) for a particular amino acid; and 'wobble' base-pairing, i.e. permitting non-standard base-pairing at the 3rd anti-codon position.
Source: RNAcentral
GCACCGUAGCCCAAUGGUAGAGGCGGUCGUUUCAAAAGCGACACAGUGUGAGUUCGAAUCUCACCGGUGCCA